Molecule: ribosomal RNA, 253 nt
Filed under: uncultured bacterium
Lineage: Bacteria
Description: partial 16S ribosomal RNA
Rfam family: Bacterial small subunit ribosomal RNA
Source: RNAcentral
UACGUAGGUGGCGAGCGUUGUUCGGAAUAACUGGGCGUAAAGGAUGCGUAGGCGGUUAAACAAGUUAUAUGUUAAAUAUAUAGGCUUAACCUGUAGAAAGCAUAUAAAACUGUUUAACUAGAGUGCAGGAGAGGUAAGUGGAAUUCCUAGUGUAGCGGUGAAAUGCGUAGAGAUUAGGAAGAACACCGGUGGCGAAGGCGACUUACUGGACUGUAACUGACGCUGAGGCAUGAGAGCAUGGGGAGCAAACAGG